UGAAAUUUUGUUUCACUGAAACUCUGAAUUUAUAACCUGAUUUUUGUGGACCUGUGGGCUCAAAUGAGAGAGGUCCAAGUCCAAGAUUUUUUUCUUUUAUUUAUUUAUUUAUUUUUAUUUUUUUCGUUUUUCGUUUUUUUUUCUUUUCAAAACACGUGGGCUUCGCCUAGCGAGCAUGACAGCUCAUGAACAAACCUUUGCUCCUUCA
Molecule: long non-coding RNA, 208 nt
Filed under: Lathyrus oleraceus (garden pea)
Lineage: Eukaryota; Viridiplantae; Streptophyta; Magnoliopsida; Fabales; Fabaceae
Description: Pisum sativum (pea) long non-coding RNA (PSAT_LNC020269)
Source: RNAcentral